This 497-nucleotide ribosomal RNA is filed under the name uncultured bacterium. RNAcentral's name for it is "partial 16S ribosomal RNA". It matches the Rfam family "Bacterial small subunit ribosomal RNA", at positions 28 to 507 of the family's 1533-position model. The record is from RNAcentral.
GACGAACGCUGGCGGCGUGCCUAAUACAUGCAAGUUGAGCGCUGAAGGUUGGUACUUGUACCAACUGGAUGAGCAGCGAACGGGUGAGUAACGCGUGGGGAAUCUGCCUUUGAGCGGGGGACAACAUUUGGAAACGAAUGCUAAUACCGCAUAAAAACUUUAAACACAAGUUUUAAGUUUGAAAGAUGCAAUUGCAUCACUCAAAGAUGAUCCCGCGUUGUAUUAGCUAGUUGGUGAGGUAAAGGCUCACCAAGGCGAUGAUACAUAGCCGACCUGAGAGGGUGAUCGGCCACAUUGGGACUGAGACACGGCCCAUACUCCUACGGGAGGCAGCAGUAGGGAAUCUUCGGCAAUGGACGAAAGUCUGACCGAGCAACGCCGCGUGAGUGAAGAAGGUUUUCGGAUCGUAAAACUCUGUUGGUAGAGAAGAACGUUGGUGAGAGUGGAAAGCUCAUCAAGUGACGGUAACUACCCAGAAAGGGACAGCUAACUACGUG